AGCAUAGUGGGCCUGGCCUUUGAUUGACAGUCCAGUGGAAGUCAUAAAGGCUUUACACAUUCAACACUUGUGUUAAUCUCCUGUUUCUUCAAUCCCAGAUGCAAUAUCUCCUGUGGGUUUGUGUUUUUCUGGAUUUAGGUCACACUUUAGGGAGCUGUGAAAAGUUAAGGGUGUGUCCCCGGGAUCGUGUAAUUGCAUACGUCACACAACAUGCAGUGCAGCCUCAGGCACUCCCGAAACCCGGGGAGCCCACCUGUAGGACCCCACGGGAUACGGGGGCCUCAGGCUGAGAACCCCUGUGAUGGGAAGAGACGCCGUGCCAGGUGGAGACCCAGAACACUGGUGGAUUCUUUUCUUUCUAAACCAAUUGGCUAAGAACGCAGACACAGUUAAGGUGGGGGAGCCAUUGGCUGAGAGCACAGACACAUUUAAGGUGGGGGAGCCAUUGGCUGAGAGCGCAGACACAUUUAAGGUGGGGGAGCAAUUGGCUUUCUCUUUGCUGGUCCCUGUAGCACGUCAGGGUGGGUGCCCGGCCGUGGGUGCUGACUCACAUGGCGGCUCUGGCAUCUGAAGCCUAAUGACGCCGUGGUUUCCCCCACCCUAAUGCAGAGGCGGAUGUUUCCUAAGCCCUGCUCUGCCCGUAAUAAAGUGCCAUUUCUGUGGUGGGAAAGACGGCACCAGCUUGCUAGGCACAGCCAUCAGAUUAAAUUUGAUCUCUACCUUAUUCCUUCCACCAAAAUGCAUUCCAGAUGGACCCCAGGUUGAAAUGUAAGAAGGGAAACUAUAAAGGACUAGAAGACAAUACAGGAGGAAUUUUUAAAUGGAGAAGGCAUUUCUAGCAAGAUAAAACUCAGAGCCACCGCAGGAAUCACUGAUGGAUUUGACUACAUCAGAACUUUAAAUUCCUACAUGGAGAGCAAACGCCAGAAGGGUUUAAAAAAUAAAAGCAAUAAACUGGAGAAAAAAUUAGUAUUUAAUAUAUAAAGAGCUCUUGUGUAAAAAGAGAAAAGGAGGGAAGCCAUAUGACAGUUAACAUUACAGAGGGGACAUGCUCCACCCCACUCCUAGGCAGUGACGGGCACUCACCUCAGUCUUCCUGCCUCACAGGUGAGCAAAGGGCUGUGAGCUCGGAACCGAUGGGUGACGGCGGGCAGCCACAGGUGGAGUGUGUAAACUGGGGCCUAGAAUAUAAACUCCAGGAAAAGGCAGGGGUCUCAUCUCCUUUGUUCACUGAUGUAUCCAUGGUACUUAAGUCCUGCCGGGCACUAAAGUGUCUCAGUAAAUAUUCUGUUGAGUGAAAAAUAGGGUAGAAUUUUGGUGGGCAAUUUGGGAGAAUCAGUCACAAUUAGAAAUGCAAAAACGUUUUGAUUCCGUGAUUGUAAGAAUUGAUUCUACAAAUAUGUACUUUGCAUAUUAAAAAUAGAAGGUUAGUCCUUGUAGUAACUUCGUUGAUGAUUUU
Long non-coding RNA from Myotis daubentonii (Daubenton's bat), 1459 nucleotides. RefSeq lists it as uncharacterized. The transcript has 2 exons. Lineage: Eukaryota; Metazoa; Chordata; Mammalia; Chiroptera; Vespertilionidae. The record is from RefSeq and is a predicted model, not a curated record.